Myiozetetes cayanensis is the source of this 195-nucleotide long non-coding RNA. RefSeq lists it as uncharacterized. The record is from RefSeq and is a predicted model, not a curated record. The transcript has 4 exons. Lineage: Eukaryota; Metazoa; Chordata; Aves; Passeriformes; Tyrannidae.
UCACCGUCUUCCUCACCAUGUUCGGGGAGAAGCUCAAGGGGGCGGACCCCGAGGACGUCAUCAUGGGGGCCUUCAAGGUGCUGGACCCCGACGGGAAGGGACUCCAUCAAGAAGAGCUUCCUGGAGGAGCUGCUGACCACCCAGUGCGACCGAUUCACCCCCGAGGAGAUCAAGAACAUGUGGCCGCCUUCCCCC